UUUAUUUAUAUGACUAUAUGAAUGGCUACCUCAGAGCCAAAGACUAGAUUUGCUGACCUGGAAGGUCCCUUCCAGUCCUAUGUUCCUAAAUCCAAUCACCAUGCCGCUGACAGAUGCACAGCACAGCUUCCUGACUGGGACCCAGUGCAUGUAUACAAAGGGGACUUUGCACUUCAUCAAAAUCAGUUACAAACAUUAAGGGUUGUGGUGAAAGGCUGGGGGCUGGAUCACUGUUAAUAAAAAAAAGAAAAGUGCGUGUCAGGGGAAGAAAGGGUCACUUUGGAGCGCAUACAGAGAGGGAAGGGUCACUUUGAGGUAUAAAUGGAGGGGGAAGACUGGGAAAUGAAGCAAUGGAAUUCAAUUCCCCCAUCAACGAAUGGGUUAAAUCCCAUCUCCUUCUGCAUGCAUCUAAAACGCUUACUACAUCUAUUUUCAUACCUCAAUUAGUUUGUCUCCUUUGACUACAUCCAGAUGCAAGCCAGGGGGAGGUUUUCCUGCCCUGGAAAAUAAGGAGAGAAAUAAAUAUUGAUGUGUAGUAUCAUUAACAUUGUACCAUCAUUCUAUCAAUCUCAAACAAAUCCAAACUGAAGCAGGUUUACUGUGAAAAAUAAUAGUCCCACAAGUGUCCUGUAUGUGAGGUCCCAGAUUCGUUUUGCUUACAGAUAAAAAUAGAUCUCUGUACUUACCAAGUUAUUCAGUUGCCACAGCACACUAAGGUUAGAUGGGCUUGAAACAUUCACCAGAAACCUGCUAGCCAUCAAAGGAAACCAACCAAAAAGAGAAAUACAAAGAUGAGCAGGGUAGUGCUGCCAUUAACAACUUCCUUGGAUAAUGCCAGGUGAGAAACGGAGCCAACUCCCAGCUUCUGGAACUGGAGAGGGGCUGGGGUUCCUAACAAGGGCUGUCCCUGCACCCUGCUUCAGGACUCCCAUCUUUUGUAUUAACUUCUAGUUAGUAGAUAUCUGAAAUCUGACGCCCCAGCCUAUUCCUUCAGCUACUAGAAGCAAGACAAUGGUUUCCCCACCCCUGCAUUUUAAAACCUCCUGAUUGUUGGGGAAACAAUGAGGGCACAUUUCUAGUACUUGUCCAUCUCUGGUACUCUACUCCUCCUCCACUAGGAAUAUCUCCACUGCUUGCCUCUGGUGCUGCUCAGACGUUCCACACACCUCCAUGAUUCUCAGCUACAUGCUGCCCACCAAUUUCUGAAUAGCUGGAGUGUAAGAGACCAGAGUCUCUGCUACUGUUGGGAAGCUCUGUACAAGAGCAGUGACACUGAAGCAUUGCCUGUAGAAUUGAGAAAGAAACUUGUAAUUGGAGUUCUCCUCAUGGAUUACCUGCAGAGGUCAAUGUUUUGGGGAUGUGCUUCAGAACCCUCAGGAAAACAGUGUGUUGGGGGCUGUGCAUGUGCCUUUCCAGAUCUAAAAUGUUUGAAAGAAGGACACAAGAAAUCACAGCCCUUAUCCCUCAUUUCCUUUCCUCUAAAAUUUAGCAGAAAAUCUUUGUAUCAAAGACCUCUCUUUGUAUACAGUCUGAUCAGCCACUACCGUAGUCUCCUAAAGACUCACUUCUGCUGUUAUGCCUACAAAACACCGGCUGCUACUCAUAGCUAGGCAAAUGAGAAACUUUGAUUGUCUUUUUCUACUCCUUCCUUCUCCUACUCUUUGCUCUUACUAAUGUUACACUUCCUGCCAUUCCCCAUCCUCUUUCUACCUGUAAGGGGGAAAAAACAAAAAAACAAAA
Dermochelys coriacea (leatherback sea turtle) is the source of this 1740-nucleotide long non-coding RNA. RefSeq lists it as uncharacterized. The transcript is spliced from 2 exons. NCBI's taxonomy places the organism in Eukaryota, Metazoa, Chordata, Testudines, Dermochelyidae. The record is from RefSeq and is a predicted model, not a curated record.